This 336-nucleotide small nuclear RNA is filed under the name Erinaceus europaeus (western European hedgehog). RNAcentral's name for it is "7SK RNA". It matches the Rfam family "7SK RNA". Rfam says of the family: 7SK was discovered as an abundant small nuclear RNA in the mid-70s but a possible function has only recently been suggested. Lineage: Eukaryota; Metazoa; Chordata; Mammalia; Eulipotyphla; Erinaceidae. The record is from Rfam by way of RNAcentral.
GGAUGGUGAGGGCGAUCUGGCUGUGACAUCUGCCACCCCAUUGAUUGCCAGGGUUGAUCCGGCUGAUCUGGUUGGCUAAGCUAAGCGGGUGUCCCCUUCCUCCCUCACCACCCCAUGUGCUUCCCUCCCAAAGCUGGGCUCUCCAUCUAAGAGGAGCCUUUCCCAAACAGAGACAGAUGAAUCUUCAGUCGAGGGUAUAGCUGCGCUCUCCUGCUAGAAGCUCCAAACAAGUUCUCAAGGUCCAAUAACAACUCAACCCCUGGCAAAAUUUUUAAAGAUAAAGUUAAUUUACUGAAAUACAUCUUUUAUGCCAUAUAAUAGGUAUAGUAUAUUGAU